Molecule: ribosomal RNA, 404 nt
Filed under: uncultured bacterium
Lineage: Bacteria
Description: bacterial SSU rRNA
Rfam family: Bacterial small subunit ribosomal RNA
Source: RNAcentral
UGAGGAAUUUUGCGCAAUGGGCGAAAGCCUGACGCAGCAACGCCGCGUGGGGGAUGAAGGUCCUCGGAUUGUAAACCCCUUUUCUGGGGGAAGAUGAUGACGGUACCCCAGGAAUAAGUCACGGCAAACUACGUGCCAGCAGCCGCGGUAAUACGUAGGUGGCAAGCGUUGUCCGGAUUUACUGGGCGUAAAGCGCACGCAGGCGGUUUGGAAAGUCCGUGGUGAAAUCUCUCGGCUCAACCGAGAGGGGUCUGCGGAUACUCCCAGACUUGAGUGGCGUAGACGAAGGUGGAAUUCCGGGUGUAGUGGUGAAAUGCGUAGAUAUCCGGAGGAACACCAGUGGCGAAGGCGGCCUUCGAGGCGCCAACUGACGCUGAGGUGCGAAAGCGUGGGGAGCGAACCGG